Pelobates cultripes (western spadefoot toad) is the source of this 148-nucleotide non-coding RNA. NCBI's taxonomy places the organism in Eukaryota, Metazoa, Chordata, Amphibia, Anura, Pelobatidae. The record is from the annotation of a GenBank genome assembly.
ACACAUUCCAGCCAAUCAGCAGCAGAUCCUCCCUCCCAGGCCCUCCCACCUCCUGGACAGCCUCCAUUGUGAAGCUGCAUUCUUAGUGAGCUGUCCAGGAGGUGGGAGGGUCUGGGAGGGAGGGUCUGCUGCUGAUUUGGCUGGAAUG